Molecule: long non-coding RNA, 94 nt
Organism: Zea mays
Lineage: Eukaryota; Viridiplantae; Streptophyta; Magnoliopsida; Poales; Poaceae
Exons: 2
Source: RefSeq, a predicted model, not a curated record
AUCUUGAAAAUCAUGGCUUGGAGAUUCCAGGUUUGAAUAUGUCCGAAGCUCCUAAGGAUUCCAUGGAAGUUGACCUGGUGCAGAAAACAGAAAA